This 215-nucleotide ribosomal RNA is filed under the name uncultured fungus. Its description in RNAcentral is "partial small subunit ribosomal RNA". The stretch from base 91 to 215 matches the Rfam family "Eukaryotic small subunit ribosomal RNA", at positions 737 to 864 of the family's 1831-position model. The record is from RNAcentral. Lineage: Eukaryota; Fungi.
GGCCUGGUUGGAUGGUCUGCCUUCGGGCAUGUACUGUCCUGACUGGGUCUUACCUUCUGGUGAGCUGUCGUUCUCCUAAAAAAGUGCGGCAGGGAACCAGGACUUUUACUUUGAAAAAAUUAGAGUGUUUAAAGCAGGCAUUCGCUUGAAUACAUUAGCAUGGAAUAAUAAAAUAGGACUUUGGUUCUAUUUUGUUGGUUUCUAGGACCGAAGUA